This is a long non-coding RNA of Neopsephotus bourkii (Bourke's parrot), 948 nucleotides long. RefSeq lists it as uncharacterized. NCBI's taxonomy places the organism in Eukaryota, Metazoa, Chordata, Aves, Psittaciformes, Psittacidae. The transcript has 3 exons. The record is from RefSeq and is a predicted model, not a curated record.
GAAUUUCCAUGUGGAUUCCAUGGUUGCACUCAUACUGCAGCCUUUCCUGCUAGGACAGCAAUGUCUGAGUCCCUCUCAAUCUCCCUGGCUGCUUAUUUUCACGAGAUUUGUAUAAAAUAAAUACAGAUGAGUCUUCUAUCUCUCUGCUGAAUUUAGGUAAAAGCAGCUAAUGGAUUUACGAGGGACUGGCAGAUAUGUGACACAGAAGCAUACAAAUACUAUAGUUACAAGCUACAUUCCUGUGGAAACUGGACUAGAAGUAAAGGAAUGCACACACUGGACUUUGUAUCAUCAGACUUUGAUAAUAUGCUAAAGGAACAGUUAAUAAGAAACCACAAAUGUAGAUUUAAAAGGAGUAAGAAGUAAUCUGAGUUUUAAUAAGCAACACAGAAAGCUCAGUUAUGCCCAUAAGGACAGCAAGGCAUUGCAUAACCUCAUGACUUCGCAGGGGAGGUUUCUUGUUCCAGUGAGACCCUGACGCCUCCUGGAACUUCCCACAGUACAGACGGGUUUUGAAAUAUUUAUGAUACUUCUACAUGCAUUUGGGAGCAGGUGGCUCCUGCAAGAAUUAAGACUUGCUUUGUAAGCCAGAGGAGAAGGUCAACAGACCUUGGCUUGGUUCUUUCCUUUGUACUUUGAACUACUAGAGGAGUCACAACAGUAAAAGCAAAACAAGAACUGCAGCUAUGACUGGUUUCAGCUCUUGACAGAUGUAUUUGCAACAGACAACAGUGCCCUCCCCAGAUUAUCCACAAUGAGAAUGUAUUCCAUGCCUUUUUAAAUUCACUUAUGGGUCACAAAUAAUUUGCACAAGUAUCAUUAUUAGAUAUUUAAACUAUGAGCUGGUUUGCUUAGUUGAGUAAGCAUGAUAAGACACAUUAUUCUUGCUACCCGAUUGGAUGAGCAUGUAAGCAGUUUUUAAUAAAUAAUGGAUAGUCUAAAAUAUAA